This is a non-coding RNA of Pelobates cultripes (western spadefoot toad), 239 nucleotides long. The record is from the annotation of a GenBank genome assembly. NCBI's taxonomy places the organism in Eukaryota, Metazoa, Chordata, Amphibia, Anura, Pelobatidae.
CAUCAAUUAAGAAGUACAGGCCAUAUGGCUGAAGCCAGACAUUCAGGCUUUUCAAGUGUAGAAUCUCACACCUUGCAGAGCCUUUGAUUAAUCACAGGAUCCAUCUUUCCCUUUUCAUAUACCUAUGCAAUUUACAUUACCCCUUCGGUCAUCUGAUCUUUGUGGAGGCACCAGCUUCAAAGACAAUAUUCCAUAGUGCAAUAAUGAGUUAUGCACCCUUGCCGUGACAAUGGCCAUAG